GAAAUGCGAUAAGUAAUGUGAAUUGCAGAAUUCAGUGAAUCAUCGAAUCUUUGAACGCACAUUGCGCCCCCUGGUAUUCCGGGGGCAUGCCUGUUCGAGCGUCAUUUCACCACUCAAGCCUCGCUUGGUAUUGGGCGACGCGGUCCGCCGCGCGCCUCAAAUCGACCGGCUGGGUCUUCUGUCCCCUCAGCGUUGUGGAAACUAUUCGCUAAAGGGUGCCACGGGAGGCCACGCCGCAAAACAAACCCAUUUCUAAGGUUGACCUCGGAUCAGGUAGGGAUACCCGCUGAACUUAAGC
This 298-nucleotide unclassified non-coding RNA is filed under the name plant metagenome. RNAcentral describes it as "partial contains 5.8S ribosomal RNA, internal transcribed spacer 2, and large subunit ribosomal RNA". The stretch from base 1 to 104 matches the Rfam family "5.8S ribosomal RNA", at positions 50 to 154 of the family's 154-position model. The record is from RNAcentral.